This 253-nucleotide ribosomal RNA is filed under the name uncultured bacterium. RNAcentral describes it as "partial 16S ribosomal RNA". It matches the Rfam family "Bacterial small subunit ribosomal RNA", at positions 524 to 776 of the family's 1533-position model. The record is from RNAcentral.
UACGGAGGGUGCAAGCGUUAUCCGGAUUCACUGGGUUUAAAGGGUGCGUAGGUGGCUUUGUAAGUCAGUGGUGAAAUGCCGCAGCUCAACUGCGGAACUGCCACUGAUACUGCUUAGCUUGAAUCACGUCGAGGUGGAUGGAAUAUUACAUGUAGCGGUGAAAUGCUUAGAUAUGUAAUAGAACACCGAUUGCGAAGGCAGUUCACUAGGCGUGUAUUGACACUGAGGCACGAAAGCGUGGGGAUCAAACAGG